Molecule: ribosomal RNA, 614 nt
Filed under: uncultured bacterium
Lineage: Bacteria
Description: bacterial SSU rRNA
Rfam family: Bacterial small subunit ribosomal RNA
Source: RNAcentral
CGAACGGGUGCGUAACACGUGGAUAACCUUCCUUCAGGUGGGGAAUAACCCAGUGAAAACUGGGCUAAUACCGCAUAACAUGACGAUGGCACAUGCUGUUGUCUUCAAAGGCGCAAGUCGCCAGAAGAGGGAUCCGCGGCCGAUUAGCUUGUUGGCGAGGUAAUGGCUCACCAAGGCAUUGAUCGGUAGCCGGACUGAGAGGUUGGCCGGCCACACUGGAACUGAGACACGGUCCAGACUCCUACGGGAGGCAGCAGUGGGGAAUCUUGCACAAUGGACGAAAGUCUGAUGCAGCAACGCCGCGUGGGGGAUGAAGCUUUUCGGAGUGUAAACCCCUUUCGACCCGGAAGAAUGCCCGCAAGGGUUUGACGGUACGGGUAUAAGAAGCCCCGGCUAACUACGUGCCAGCAGCCGCGGUAAUACGUAGGGGGCCAGCGUUGCUCGGAAUUACUGGGCGUAAAGGGUCUGUAGGCGGUGCGGCAAGUCGAUAGUGAAAUCCCUAGGCUUAACCUAGGGGCUGCUAGCGAAACUGCCGUGCUAGAGUGUGAGAGAGGCGAGUGGAAUUACGGGGUGUAGCGGUGAAAUGCGUAGAUAUCCCGUAGGAACUUCCGGAG